UACGAAGGGGGCUAGCGUUGCUCGGAAUCACUGGGCGUAAAGGGUGCGUAGGUGGUUGUUUAAGUCUGCUGUGAAAGCCCCGGGCUCAACCUGGGAAUGGCAGUGGAUACUGGACAGCUAGAGUGCGGUAGAGGGUAGUGGAAUUCCCGGUGUAGCAGUGAAAUGCGUAGAGAUCGGGAGGAACACCAGUGGCGAAGGCGGCUACCUGGACCAGCACUGACACUGAAGCACGAAAGCGUGGGGAGCAAACAGG
Molecule: ribosomal RNA, 253 nt
Filed under: uncultured bacterium
Lineage: Bacteria
Description: partial 16S ribosomal RNA
Rfam family: Bacterial small subunit ribosomal RNA
Source: RNAcentral